Small nucleolar RNA from Tachyglossus aculeatus (Australian echidna), 138 nucleotides. NCBI's taxonomy places the organism in Eukaryota, Metazoa, Chordata, Mammalia, Monotremata, Tachyglossidae. The record is from RefSeq and is a predicted model, not a curated record.
CCCCUGUCAGGUUCGCACCUGGAGAGUUUCCAGUACUCUACCAGUCUCACUUACAGGAGGGCAGGUCAAGCAGAGGCAUAUCCAUUCCAUUUCUAGCUUGGGCAGUGGCUAGUGAGUGGAAGUCAAUCUGCUACAACU